UGGGGAAUAUUGGACAAUGGGCGCAAGCCUGAUCCAGCCAUGCCGCGUGUGUGAAGAAGGCCUUUUGGUUGUAAAGCACUUUAAGCGAGGAGGAGGCUACUUGGAUUAAUACUCUAGGAUAGUGGACGUUACUCGCAGAAUAAGCACCGGCUAACUCUGUGCCAGCAGCCGCGGUAAUACAGAGGGUGCGAGCGUUAAUCGGAUUUACUGGGCGUAAAGCGUGCGUAGGCGGCUUCUUAAGUCGGAUGUGAAAUCCCUGAGCUUAACUUAGGAAUUGCAUUCGAUACUGGGAAGCUUGAGUAUGAGAGAGGAUGGUAGAAUUCCAGGUGUAGCGGUGAAAUGCGUAGAGAUCUGGAGGAAUACCGAUGGCGAAGGCAGCCAUCUGGCCUAAUACUGACGCUGAGGUACGAAAGCAUGGGGAGCAAACAGG
This 430-nucleotide ribosomal RNA is filed under the name bacterium. Its description in RNAcentral is "partial 16S ribosomal RNA". It matches the Rfam family "Bacterial small subunit ribosomal RNA", at positions 355 to 776 of the family's 1533-position model. The record is from RNAcentral.